Equus caballus (horse) is the source of this 3860-nucleotide long non-coding RNA. Lineage: Eukaryota; Metazoa; Chordata; Mammalia; Perissodactyla; Equidae. The record is from Ensembl.
GAACACUGAUUGCUUUUUACUGGGUGAGCUUUGAAUGGUGAAGCCGACCCUGCCGUGAAUGCCUGUGUUCGUGAGGACAGUCUUUAGCUUCUGAUCCCUUGAAGGUCAACACCAGAGUUGACCGCCAUCAAGUGGGUUCAGAGAGUGGAGGCUGGAGGGUGAUCUGAAGCAGUUCGUUGAGUCAUUUAACAAGCAUUUGUUGCCAGCUUUCUGAAAACAGCUUUCUAGCAGAAAGGAUAAUUAAGAAGCAGUGCGUGGUCUUUGUCUAAGAAAGACCAAAUGUUCUCCCACAAAAUAGCAUGAAAACAGCAAGCCUACCACCCGUCUUAUCUGAUACUUAUAAGAGGAGAGGAAUUAACUGUUUCAAAAGCUGACUUUAAUACAGAUUUCCCAGCUUUUCGGAUUUUUUUCAGCUGACCCGACUAUAUGGCGAAUGCAUCACAGCUGGUGCUGACAUAGAGCUAGGCAGCUAAUUUAAGGGAGGCACACUGGAGUUCCCUGGCUGCGAGGGCAAAAGAAAGCAAGUGGUGAAGGCCCGUGAUUCUCAUCUGACACUGAAUCAAGGCUAGAUCAAUCAAUGGAAAGGACCUUGAUAUACAAAGACAAGUUGAUUCAGAAUUAUGGAACCUGAGACAUAUCCCAGCUUUCCUGAGGGCAGAGCAUGCUUCUCCACCCUAUUGAUUUGGGGGCUUCAGAUGACUUGCUUUGACCAAUGGCAUGUGGGCAGAAGUGAUAGCAUGCCAGUUCCCAGAGGAGAACUGAAGAUCCAUUGCAAGUGUCCUCUUGUGCUCCUGUGCUGUGCAUGAGAAGAGCAUCACUCACAUAGCCACUCCAGAAUAAGAAUAUAGGUGCAGAAGACCUAACCCAACCCACAGUCUAGAGCCAAACCCAGCCAAAGAAUAAAAAUGCUCUAAACCCGCAAAGACAAAGGAUAAUAUUAAAAAAAAAAAAAAAAAAAAAGAAAAGAAGAGAAGAGAAAAAAUAGACAAGGUAGAUGAGAUUUACACAAAUUCUGGAAAGAUGGACAGUUUGUGCUGUCUUUGGAUGAGGGACAAAGUGUUUCAUUUGUAGUUUUAUGUAGGAUAAUUAGAUCACAUGGACUUUUAUUGAAUUGUACGUAAAGAUGAUGUGCGUCCAUGCAUGUGUUUGUGUGUGUGUGUAUUUGUGCUGGUUACCAAAGAAAUGGGUGUAGUGGAGAGCUUUAUUUUAUUUCAUUUUUUUGUUAUACUCAGAAUACCAUAACUCAAUAAAUAAUUGUGCAUAAUAAUAAUAAAACCCACAGAGAAUUAACAGUUGCAUCAUUAGACAUGUUACUUCUUUUCACAAUGAAAUCUUACUUGGUGAUAUUUUUCUAAAUUUCCCUGAGAGGCUAGAUGUUUAUAUAAAGUCAUGGCAAUGUUAAAGUGUAUAUUGUAUAUGAUGUAACAAAUGAGGCACUUAAUUUGAAUUUGUUUCCACAGAAUAAGCCAUUUGAUAUUUCUGUACUCUUUAUGGCAGAUUAGUUUUGCUUAUAGUAGAUUAUUACAUUCUUUCUGAGUCAUUAAGAGCUGUUACUGACGUGUACCAAACUGUGUUUUGAAGCAUUGCCAUUAUGUUUAAGCCAUAUAAUUUGUAGUUAAAACUAAAGGCAUGAAGCUUGUCAAAUACUGUUUUAUUUCAUAUUGAAAAAAGUAAGAAAAAUCUUCACUUCAAUGCUGAAUUAUUAUAAAGUAGAGCAAGCAGUGGAAAAAUUGCUAUUUAAAAAAGGAAAUGUUAUCUCAAUAUUUGCAAAGGCACUGUGGUAAAGUCUAUUAAUGCUUUUCUUUUCUGAUUAUUCUCUCCUUCCUGAGGACACAGGAAGAAUCUGGUCCCCAGGCCCCUUUGCGGUCAGGCAGGGCCAUGUGACUAUUUCUAGCCAGUGAAAUGUGAGUGAAACUGAUGCAUCUUGUUUCAGGCUGAAGCUUUUAAGAACAAGUAUGCCACUUCCAUUAUCUCCCUUCCUCUCUGGCAGUGACCACGAAGCUUGUUUAUUGAAAUGGCAGUACUCACAAAAUAAGCAGUCUGAGUGACCACAUGGAAAAAAGUAGCUCUGUAAAGACAUUUGACUGACAUCAGACUUUGUGCAUGUGAGAAAUAGAUUUUGUUGUUUAAGACGCUGUGGCUGUAACUAGUGACUAAAACAGUCAUGUAUUGUUAUGCAAAACCUGUGUCUAGAUUUUAACUUUAUUAAACAGAAACAUACUUAUUAGGACAGAGAGAGUCACUAUUUAAAGGCACCCGCAGGUAAAUAUUCUUUUAAUCAAAAAAUUGUUUAAAUGUGAAUAAACACCACUUGAUUUUUAACUGAUUAAUCAGAUCAUAAAGUUACAUGAUUAAAAAAUUAAGAGGUUGUGGGUGUGAACUUUACUCUUUGUUUUGUUCAAUAAUAGAACUCUGUCAUGUGCGUGUGUGUAUAUGUGUGUGUGUGUGUGUGUGUAGAGAGAGGCAAAUACUUAUAUGUAGUCAGAUAUUUUGAGCCAUUAAAUUGGACCAUAUGUGUGAGAACAAUUUGUAAGCUGAAAAGAAUCAUAAGAUACAAAGAAAUCAGCAGCACCAUUAUCAUCACCAUUAAAAUCUGGCUUCAUUAAGAGUCUCCGGGCUGGCCACGCACUUAGGAGGGGUCUACUCUGUUAUUCUAUUGGAUGAUUUAAUACGCUGGUAAUUCAGUCAAUUAACCGUAGUUGCUUGAACUACCUGGCACUGAGCAACCUAUUUAACAAAUGUGCAUGUUAAUUGACAGUUCAUUACUUUAACUGAUAGAGUAAGCUAUUUUGGUUUCACAUAGAUAUAGUUUUAGACAGUUACAAAUUAUUAUCUAAGAAGCUGAGCCCAUAUUCUAAACGCCAAGUCGGGCACUCCAAAGGUACCAUAGAGACUGGCAGUCGUUCUGCACAGAGGCAUGUGUUGUGUGUGUGUGGGUAUGUGUGUGUGUGUGAGCCUGUGUGUAUGUGUGUGUUCUCCCCCCAGUUUUUCAUAUAGCAUUUUUAAACAUUCUGACAUUAUUCUAAUCUCACUACUGUGACAGCAACUUCAAAACUAAGCAAUUUAACAAAUUUUACAGAAGCAAAAAGUACUAAAUCUAUGGCAUGGAUUCUGGCCUUCUGAGUUCAAGGCCAGAACAUUGUCCAUCAGACCACAGCUUCCUUUAGAGAAAAUAAAAAAACUAAAAACACCUCAAGGUUGUCAGCCAUUUUUUAAAAAUGUUACAUUUUGCUCUUUAACUUACCUGGAAUUAAUUAUUACGCUUAAUGUGUGAGAUAAAUCUAAAUUCAUAUUUUCUGUACGUUGUAAUAUACAGUCUUGAUUUUAUUUACAUAAAAACAUACAUUACUUUUCUGUCUUUUUAGAUUUCAAAACGCAUUUUCAAUCAGAUGGAAACAAAAGUUAAUUACAGGCAUUCACUAAUAAAUGUUACUAUAAUGGGAUGCUAACAUCAGGGUUCCUUGUAUUUCUUCUCUAUUUACUCCUAUGCCCCUAAUGUUAUCCUUGUCCUGAACUUCUUGCAGUUGAGGAAGCGCAUUUAUCUCCACAAUCCAUUGUUCAAAUUUGCAAUAAAUUCUUCAAAUCUUAAAGAAGCAACUGAAGAACAUGGAUUUUAGACUUAAGAUUUGAAUGCUAGUUUUACCAUUAAUUAGCUAAAUGAUCUUGGACAUGUUUCUUAACCAGGUUGAUCCUCAGUUUCCUCAUUUCUAUAGUGGAGUUAAAAUGUCUGCUUCAUAAGCAGUCCUGAGAAUUAAUUGAGAUAGUGUACUUAAGAUGGAUCAAUUAAUAUAAAUGAAAAUUAUGUUGCUUGCCUUCAGAGGCCUUAAAAUCCAUUUUUAGAAGGUGGAUUAUUUACAGGG